UCCAGGAAUGACACUCAAUUGAAUCAAAUCUUCACCUCCUAUCUAAGUGGCAAGACUUGAUAUCAUUUGAGCUAAUACUAAGUAAUAUGCACCCUAUUAUUAUUAUGGGAUUGAUGAUGAACAUUAUUAUGAAAAUUAUUAUCAUCAUGAAGCAUCGUAAGAAGCAUCAUAUGAAUUUUUUUAGGGGCCAAGGAUGUGCGACUCCAUCAGUUUGUUUGUCAUUAUUUGUCACUACUUGAUCUUCAAUGCAUUGUAUGAAAGGAUAUGGAAACGACUC
Molecule: long non-coding RNA, 277 nt
Filed under: Elaeis guineensis (African oil palm)
Lineage: Eukaryota; Viridiplantae; Streptophyta; Magnoliopsida; Arecales; Arecaceae
Description: long non-coding RNA (EGUI_LNC068426)
Source: RNAcentral